Molecule: long non-coding RNA, 510 nt
Organism: Myotis brandtii (Brandt's bat)
Lineage: Eukaryota; Metazoa; Chordata; Mammalia; Chiroptera; Vespertilionidae
Exons: 3
Source: RefSeq, a predicted model, not a curated record
UGUGCUCCUCCGAUCUAAAACAGAUCUGUCCAAGGUCACAUGGCUGGUUAGCAGCAAAGAACCCAGGCAGCUAGAACUCACUUCGACUGUCUUCUAGUCCCGUGCUUUCUUCAUUUCUUUCAUGCUCUGUCUUUAACCCAACGCUUUCACCUGGCUUGGUGAAACAGCUCAAACCAUCACCUCACAGCUAGUGUCCCAAGCUGUCAAAGGGUACAGUAUGUUUCUGACUCCUCUCACACAGAGUGUGAGAACCCACAAGAAAAAACCAUUACGGGUACUCUGAAAAACUGUGGAGUGUUUUGGUACUGACUGAUUUUUGUAGUGUGCCAUUUUGAUUCCCUCUUCUUGCCUUUCCUAUAUUUUUUUAGUUAUCGUCUUAGUGGUCCCUUGGGAAUUACAACUAAACUAUUAAACUUCUAACAACCUAGUUUGAAAAAUUCCAACAUAGUUUCAAUAGUAUGCAAAUACUCUCUCUCCCUCUUUAUACAGGGUUUGGCAAAAGUAGGUUUA